GACGAACGCUGGCGGCGUGCUUAACACAUGCAAGUCGAGCGGUAAGGCCCUUUCGGGGGUACACGAGCGGCGAACGGGUGAGUAACACGUGGGUGACCUGCCCUCAGCUCUGGGAUAAGCCUGGGAAACCGGGUCUAAUACUGGAUAUGACUCCAUGACGCAUGUUGUGGGGUGGAAAGCCUUGUGCGGCUGAGGGAUGGGCCCGCGGCCUAUCAGCUUGUUGGU
Molecule: ribosomal RNA, 225 nt
Filed under: uncultured bacterium
Lineage: Bacteria
Description: partial 16S ribosomal RNA
Rfam family: Bacterial small subunit ribosomal RNA
Source: RNAcentral